Molecule: ribosomal RNA, 312 nt
Filed under: uncultured archaeon
Lineage: Archaea
Description: bacterial SSU rRNA
Rfam family: Archaeal small subunit ribosomal RNA
Source: RNAcentral
AUAAACCGCGAUAGGUCAUCACUUCUGGAAUGGGUAAUGACUUAAAUCUAUAUGGCCCCUGAAUUGAACUGCGGCCAAUCAGGCUGUUGGUGAGGUAAUGGCCCACCAAACCUGUAACCGGUACGGGCUCUGAAAGGAGGACCCCGGAAAUGGGCACUGAAACAAGGGCCCAGGCCCUAUGGGGCGCACCAGGCGCAAAACCUCUGCAAUAGGCAAAAGCUUGACAGGUUUACUCUGAUUGAUUUCCGUUAAGGAAAUCUUUUGGCACCUCUAAAAAUGGUGCAAAAUAAGGGGUGGGCAAUUCUGGUGUCA